Molecule: ribosomal RNA, 253 nt
Filed under: uncultured bacterium
Lineage: Bacteria
Description: partial 16S ribosomal RNA
Rfam family: Bacterial small subunit ribosomal RNA
Source: RNAcentral
GACGAACCGAGCGACCGUUGUUCGGAAUCACUGGGCUUAAAGGGUGCGUAGGCGGGCUGCCAAGUUUGGGGUGAAAUCCUCCGGCUCAACCGGGGAAGUGCCUUGAAUACUGGCGGUCUCGAGGGAGGUAGGGGCGUGCGGAACUAACGGUGGAGCGGUGAAAUGCGUUGAUAUCGUUAGGAACUCCGGUGGCGAAGGCGGCACGCUAGACCUCUUCUGACGCUGAGGCACGAAAGCCAGGGGAGCGAACGGG